RNAcentral lists this ribosomal RNA (1579 nucleotides) under Vibrio cholerae. RNAcentral describes it as "partial 23S ribosomal RNA". It matches the Rfam family "Bacterial large subunit ribosomal RNA", at positions 1234 to 2797 of the family's 2925-position model. Lineage: Bacteria; Pseudomonadati; Pseudomonadota; Gammaproteobacteria; Vibrionales; Vibrionaceae. The record is from RNAcentral.
GAGCGUUCUGUAAGCCGUUGAAGGUGAAUCGUAAGGUUUGCUGGAGGUAUCAGAAGUGCGAAUGCUGACAUGAGUAACGACAAAGGGGGUGAAAAACCUCCUCGCCGGAAGACCAAGGGUUCCUGUCCAACGUUAAUCGGGGCAGGGUGAGUCGACCCCUAAGGUGAGGCCGAAAGGCGUAAUCGAUGGGAAACGGGUUAAUAUUCCCGUACUUCUGACUAUUGCGAUGGGGGGACGGAGAAGGCUAGGUGGGCCAGGCGACGGUUGUCCUGGUUCAAGUGCGUAGGCUUGAGAGUUAGGUAAAUCCGGCUCUCUCUAAGGCUGAGACACGACGUCGAGCUGCUACGGCAGUGAAGUCAUUGAUGCCAUGCUUCCAGGAAAAGCCUCUAAGCUUCAGAUAGUCAGGAAUCGUACCCCAAACCGACACAGGUGGUCGGGUAGAGAAUACCAAGGCGCUUGAGAGAACUCGGGUGAAGGAACUAGGCAAAAUGGUACCGUAACUUCGGGAGAAGGUACGCUCUUGAUGGUGAAGUCCCUCGCGGAUGGAGCUGACGAGAGUCGCAGAUACCAGGUGGCUGCAACUGUUUAUUAAAAACACAGCACUGUGCAAAAUCGCAAGAUGACGUAUACGGUGUGACGCCUGCCCGGUGCCGGAAGGUUAAUUGAUGGGGUUAGCGCAAGCGAAGCUCUUGAUCGAAGCCCCGGUAAACGGCGGCCGUAACUAUAACGGUCCUAAGGUAGCGAAAUUCCUUGUCGGGUAAGUUCCGACCUGCACGAAUGGCGUAAUGAUGGCCACGCUGUCUCCACCCGAGACUCAGUGAAAUUGAAAUCGCUGUGAAGAUGCAGUGUACCCGCGGCUAGACGGAAAGACCCCGUGAACCUUUACUACAGCUUGGCACUGAACAUUGAACCUACAUGUGUAGGAUAGGUGGGAGGCUAUGAAGACGUGACGCCAGUUGCGUUGGAGCCGUCCUUGAAAUACCACCCUUGUAUGUUUGAUGUUCUAACUUAGACCCGUUAUCCGGGUUGAGGACAGUGCCUGGUGGGUAGUUUGACUGGGGCGGUCUCCUCCCAAAGAGUAACGGAGGAGCACGAAGGUGGGCUAAUCACGGUUGGACAUCGUGAGGUUAGUGCAAUGGCAUAAGCCCGCUUAACUGCGAGAAUGACGGUUCGAGCAGGUGCGAAAGCAGGUCAUAGUGAUCCGGUGGUUCUGUAUGGAAGGGCCAUCGCUCAACGGAUAAAAGGUACUCCGGGGAUAACAGGCUGAUACCGCCCAAGAGUUCAUAUCGACGGCGGUGUUUGGCACCUCGAUGUCGGCUCAUCACAUCCUGGGGCUGAAGUCGGUCCCAAGGGUAUGGCUGUUCGCCAUUUAAAGUGGUACGCGAGCUGGGUUUAGAACGUCGUGAGACAGUUCGGUCCCUAUCUGCCGUGGGCGUUGGAAGAUUGAAGGGGGCUGCUCCUAGUACGAGAGGACCGGAGUGGACGAACCUCUGGUGUUCGGGUUGUGUCGCCAGACGCAUUGCCCGGUAGCUAAGUUCGGAAUUGAUAAGCGCUGAAAGCAUCUAAGCGCGAAGCGAGC